Molecule: ribosomal RNA, 652 nt
Filed under: Trichoderma longibrachiatum
Lineage: Eukaryota; Fungi; Ascomycota; Sordariomycetes; Hypocreales; Hypocreaceae
Description: eukaryotic LSU rRNA
Rfam family: 5.8S ribosomal RNA (bases 274-427)
Source: RNAcentral
CAGAAGCAGCAAAAAGGCACACACCAACAAACCAACAAAGGGAACAAAACCGAGAACACAACCCCCAAACCCCAACGUGAACGUUACCAAUCUGUUGCCUCGGCGGGAUUCUCUUGCCCCGGGCGCGUCGCAGCCCCGGAUCCCAUGGCGCCCGCCGGAGGACCAACUCCAAACUCUUUUUUUCUCUCCGUCGCGGCUCUUGUUGUGGUUUUGUUUUAUUUUUGUUUUGAGCCUUUCUCGGCGACCCUAGCGGGCGUCUCGAAAAUGAAUCAAAACUUUCAACAACGGAUCUCUUGGUUCUGGCAUCGAUGAAGAACGCAGCGAAAUGCGAUAAGUAAUGUGAAUUGCAGAAUUCAGUGAAUCAUCGAAUCUUUGAACGCACAUUGCGCCCGCCAGUAUUCUGGCGGGCAUGCCUGUCCGAGCGUCAUUUCAACCCUCGAACCCCUCCGGGGGGUCGGCGUUGGGGAUCGGCCCCUCCCCGGGCCGCCCCCGCCCUCCCGUGGCGGUCUCGCCGCCGCCUCUCCUGCGCCGUCGUUUGCAAAAUAGAAAAGGGAGAGAGGAGAGGCCACAGCCGUAAAACACCCCAAACUUCUGAAAUGUUGACCUCGGGUCGGGUAGGAAGACCCGCGGAACUUUUGCUUUUCUUUUUGCG